CAGUCGCCGCGGGAAUACGAAGGGGGCUAGCGUUGUUCGGAUUUACUGGGCGUAAAGCGCACGUAGGCGGACUUUUAAGUCAGGGGUGAAAUCCCGGGGCUCAACCCCGGAACUGCCUUUGAUACUGGGAGUCUUGAGUUCGAGAGAGGUGAGUGGAAUUGCGAGUGUAGAGGUGAAAUUCGUAGAUAUUCGCAGGAACACCAGUGGCGAAGGCGGCUCACUGGCUCGAUACUGACGCUGAGGUGCGAAAGCGUGGGGAGCAAACAGGAUUAGAUACCCCAGUAGUCCCUGUCUCUUAUAC
RNAcentral lists this ribosomal RNA (301 nucleotides) under uncultured bacterium. Its description in RNAcentral is "partial 16S ribosomal RNA". It matches the Rfam family "Bacterial small subunit ribosomal RNA", at positions 509 to 807 of the family's 1533-position model. The record is from RNAcentral.